This 468-nucleotide ribosomal RNA is filed under the name uncultured bacterium. RNAcentral's name for it is "partial 16S ribosomal RNA". It matches the Rfam family "Bacterial small subunit ribosomal RNA", at positions 28 to 507 of the family's 1533-position model. The record is from RNAcentral.
GACGAACGCUGGCGGCGUGCUUAACACAUGCAAGUCGAACGGAAAGGCCCUGCUUUUGUGGGGUGCUCGAGUGGCGAACGGGUGUGUAACACGCGAGUAACCUGCCCUUGACUUUGGGAUAACUUCAGGAAACUGGGGCUAAUACCGGAUAGGAGCUCCUGCUGCAUGGUGGGGGUUGGAAAGUUUCGGCGGUUGGGGAUAGACUCGCGGCUUAUCAGCUUGUUGGUGGGGUAGUGGCUUACCAAGGCUUUGACGGGUAGCCGGCCUGAGAGGGUGACCGGCGACAUGGGGACUGAGAUACGGCCCAGAAGCGUACGGGAGGCAGCAGGGGGGAAUAUUGCAGAAUGGGCGGACGCCUGAUGCAGCAACGCCGCGUGCGGGAUGACGGCUUUCGGGUUGUAAACCGCUUUCGCCUGUGACGAAGCGUGAGUGACGGUAAUGGGUAAAGAAGCACCGGCUAACUACGUG